Oreochromis niloticus (Nile tilapia) is the source of this 3648-nucleotide long non-coding RNA. RefSeq lists it as uncharacterized. NCBI's taxonomy places the organism in Eukaryota, Metazoa, Chordata, Actinopteri, Cichliformes, Cichlidae. The record is from RefSeq and is a predicted model, not a curated record. The transcript is spliced from 3 exons.
AAUCGGGCCUGUUGGUCCUUUGAAAUUUUCCCGUUUUAAGUCUUCGUAGAGCAAAAUGAAAACACGGUUUCUCCGUGAAGGAGGUGUAGUUUUAAUAUGUUGUGUCUUUUUUUGAGUUUUGCAAGUAAUUUAUUUGACAAUCAAAAGGCUCCUAACUGACAAAUUCAUUGAAUAUACUCGUCAUACUCUGAAGAGUGAUCAAAUGGGCAGAUUUUAUUUGUACAUGCUCCACUGAAAGCCUUAAUGGAGAUGUUGUUUUUUUUCUCUUAAAGGGAUAUAUGUAUGUGUGAGUGUGUGUGCGUGUGCGUGUGGGCGGCGGGCGGUUGGCAUCCAAGUAUAGCAGUUUUUUUGCAAACAGUCACAAUCAAUUAGCUAGCCCGAUCAGGCUAAAGCUCCAUUUAGCUCCAAAUGAGGAUUUAGCAAGACAUGAGAGAGGAAGUGUUGGGAAUUGUGAAAUAUUGAUGAUGUUUGUGUAAAUGCCUUUGCUUAUGUCUCUCUUAAACUGUUUAUAAAGUCUAAUGCGAGGCCUUUUGGACUCCCGCAGUUUGGGUUUGUUACCAUUUAAUGCAGAAGGGCGGGGAAGCAAUGAGCAAAUAAGCAAAGGCCUGCAGAGAUUGCUAAGUCGGGCUCUGAAGUGCAAAUGAGCUUCCUCUCUCGGUUCUAGAUUAUGUUUUUUCUUGCAUGCUGACAUUGAAACACGGGACACGGGCAACAUGUUUAUUUGAGCACGCAUUAGCGUCAGAAUGAUGGCCAAUAAUAUAUUUUUCUCCAUAAAGCCAAGGUGCUUAAUUGAAUUAUAUGUCAGUUAAGCUAUUUAUGUGUGUGUGGUGCCAUUAGUACUGUGUAAUAUCAUAAGCCACCAUAGCUCACUAAUGACUUCAAAACUCAAACAAGUCCAGAUGGAAUAGUGAUACAACUAUGCGCCAUGAGACAAUUAUAAAAAAUAUACAUAUUACUCCCAGCUGCCCGACUCACUGAUGCACUGUGCAACGUUUGAAUUAAAAGACUGUCAGUGUUUAUAUUUGGGCAAAACUUUGUUGGAACCUUUCACCUUCUAAAAGCCACUGGCACAGCUUGACCGUCUUUUUCCUCACUGCUGGAACAGCUUGAGUCGAGGUCUGAUUAAAAAGCACAGACGUUGGCUGUGUCUUCCUGGGAGGUAAGAGCUAGCUAGGAGCCUGGUCGGGGCCUGGGGGAAAUAAAGAUUUGGAUCGAGCUGAUUUGAGUAGAUGAAGAUAGUGCGGUAAUUACAGGCAUCCCAGAUCUCAGCAGUAGAUAUAGCACGCCAGACCCAGAGCUUAUGGGAGUGUGAUAAAGAUGGAGUCCUGUGUAUUGGCAAGGCGAAUGCGGCGGGUGAUGAAGGGAGCGGGGAGUCAUUCUGUCAGUGAUCCAUAAAAAAAAAUCACGCAAGAUGGGGCCCAAGGUAAGAGCUAAAUGUGCCAUCUCCUAUCGUGGCUCCAAAAUAAAUUGUUGUGCCUUUAUGCUUUCAGAAUUAGCCUUUUUCUGCUUUUAUAAAAACAAAAAAAUCCAAUUAGCGCUUGCAAAUUUUUCCUUCACUAUUCAGCCCUCUCUGCGUAAUCCAUAACGUUCAGUUUUAUAGUGAAUCUGAUGAAAAUUAUAAAGGAGAGGAGUGUAAUUUCCCCCAGACACUAAUAGGACAUUGUUGUUAGCAUUUAACCUGUCCUGAUUGCCUUGUUUUUCAUGGCUGCUGCAUCCUGAGGUGGGUCUCCAUCCAGCCAAACCUUCAGCCCUCCUUCCCUCCUCCUGGGUGACAUUUCAGACGGGGCCCUGAGGGCAUUCGGAGGGGAGGCAUCGAACAAGAUAUCACAAGCUGUGCUGCCCUGCCUGGGAAGCUGGACACACUUGGAUUGAGCUGAGCUUGAAACAUCUGUCAGCACUCCGGACUCCGCUGGCGAGGAAGAGAGAGAGCGAGAGAGAGAGAGAGAGCAGAGGGCCCUGGUAUGUAGCGCAGGCCCUGGCGCAGGAAUCGCUGGAGCUGCUUAGCCUGGCACGGCUGAUUUGUUUAUUUGCCCUGACCUCGCGUUCGCGCCGAGGUUACGGGGACCUAGUGAAAGGAACCAUUGUGCUGUGGGGGGAAAAAAAAUCUGUUACAAAUAUUUACCAUGGAGGGAAUGCAAAGCCGUGGCCUGCAGCCAGCCAGACUCAAGCUGUAAAAUUCACUGCAUUGCAUUUUUUGAAUUAGCUCCCCCUCACCACCUCCAUCCCUUUUUAACCGGGGUUAAAAUUAUACCCCUUACAUUUUUAUUAAUGAGAUCACGCUGUCACAGAUUAUUAGACGUUUAAUAGCCUCAUGAUCAGGAUCCAAUGAGUUCCUCCAGCCCACGUUUAUCCCAUAACUUAGCAUUUUAACAUAUGGCGUGUGCACCAGGAUGCUGUGAUUAUACAAUAAUGACUUUACUGCGUCUGUGCCUUCCUAACAAUUGUGUUUCCUCUUAAUUUUGUGUAUUUUCAGUAACAAAUUUUCCUUCCCCGGCGUCUAGUUUGUGUAACCACAUUUGACUAAACUACCACGCCGAUGUUUUUCUUGCAGAAAAAUCUGGAGCACAUCCCCACACUGCAUUUCUUAUUCCGCAGGGUCCCCCUGUUAGGUCAGUAGUAACAAAUGCUUUUUCAAAAAGGCUGCAUAAAUUCCCUUUUCUCCUCAUAUGUUUUUUUUUUUUCUUUUUCUUGAAAAUGCCAUAUUGGUUUUAGCUGGAAUAAAUCUGCCGGCUUCCAUCAUGCUUGCCUUUUUUUUUUUUACCCUUGCUGCCGGACCAGGCGGACGCCCUCGCUGGCGCAUUGACAUGCAACAAAGCUAAUGGUGGCCGGGACAGGAGGGCCUAAUCUUCACUAACUGACAAGAUUUAAAUUGAGGAGACAUCUUCCGCUGAUUAGCUCCCACACCCACAAUUAUCCAACUGGGGUGUCAAGCAAGGUUUAACAUCUCCACUGAUUCUGCUCUCCUGAGACAUCCGGGAGGCAAUGCAAUCGCUUUUAAUAACUGCCUCCCUCCCUCGCUCCCUCCCCUCUAUCCCUCUCUCACCCCUUCUCCUUCCUGACGCCCAGUGCUUCUUGCGCACCCCCGCCCGCCGCCCAUUUCGCUUUUCCUUCUACCUUAUUCUUGCUCCCCCCCCCCAUCUUCACUCCCUCUGCAGCCUGCCCCCCCACCACACCCCAAGUUCCUAUAGUCAUUCCAGCUCCCUUCAAAAUUAACCUUUCCUACGAAAAUAUAAUUUCUCACAAAAUGAACCCCACUGAGCAUUUUUUUUCUCUCUUCCUGGAAUAAUUUAUUCAAAUUGCUCAGAACAGCAGAGCAAUCUGAACACUGAGUGGACCCCGAAUUUGGAUCUGCCUCUUUUUCUCUUUCUCUCUUUUUUUUAAAUCUAAGAUUGGAGAGAACAUGGGGCAAAAAAAAAAAAAGUUUAUGUACCUUGCUAUCUCCUGGCAAAUAAAGGGGGGGCGGACUUGCUUCCACCUUGGAUACCGGGCACUCUGGCAGUGGUAUCCCCCUCGAGUGUACACCUCAUUAAAAUUCAUCUGAUCUGAAUAUUUUUUGCAAAUAUGGUCUGAUUGCUCACCAUGACAGGAAACAUCCCUGUGUGUUAUUUUAAUCACACGCACCCCAACGGGCAACAUAUAUGAUGGCUG